Cyanistes caeruleus (blue tit) is the source of this 374-nucleotide non-coding RNA. The record is from RefSeq and is a predicted model, not a curated record. Lineage: Eukaryota; Metazoa; Chordata; Aves; Passeriformes; Paridae.
CUCACCCAGGCUCAGCCAUCCCCUUUCUGCCCGUCAGGAACGCCCCGGUCGACAUAGAAGGAAAAUUGUUUGCUGAAUUUCUGCACAGCCCUCCUUCCAAUUGCUGGAGAGAGAGGGGGAGUGAGAAAGAGAGAGAGUUUAAGGCAGGCUCUGCACUGGUGUUCUGGGCUAUUUCAACUUCAGGGCAACUUUAGAGAACUUCAGUUAUUUUUGGUUCUGGACGACAGCUGAGACCGCCUGAGCCCCCGGGAGAUGUUGAUGCCGAUGCAGAUGCAGAGGAUGAAGAUUCUGUUAAUGAAGUGGCAGUAGAAGACAUUCGUCCAAGGCCACAAGGGUCCUCUCCAGUUUAUGAGUAUCCCAUAGAAGAGGACUAU